Molecule: ribosomal RNA, 834 nt
Filed under: Triticum aestivum (bread wheat)
Lineage: Eukaryota; Viridiplantae; Streptophyta; Magnoliopsida; Poales; Poaceae
Description: partial small subunit ribosomal RNA
Source: RNAcentral
GUGUUGUAACUGCAGAAAAUAGAUGACAUCACUGAACUGAACAUUGCAGAGGAUUUGGAUAAUCGACCUUAAAAAAGCAAAAAUGCUGAACCAGGUGUUCUGGAGCCAUCGCCAAUGUCGCCAACUAUGUCAGCAUCUACACCAAUUUCUGAAUGUUUUGAAUCCAUUGUGCCGGAAUCAGAUGAUCAGAUAGAUAAUGAUCCAUUGCCAUCUACUCCAUCGCCAUCUAGCUCAACAUUAUCUCCUGUUUUCUCAUUACAUGAUAUUAAGGAACCAGAUUCAAAUAAAGAGAUCAAAGUUAUGAGACAUGAUUAUCUCCCACAAGACUAUGCAUUGACCGACCAUGAUCUAUGUGCACAUAUAGCAGUAGAAUCAUCUUUGAGUAAAGAAUUGCUGGUUCGGAUAGAUAGAAGUUAUGUGUUACAAAAUCAAUUGAUGUGCCUGCUAGAUGAAAAGGAGUGGGUAAAUGAUGAUGUGAUCUAUGCAUAUAUAUGUUGUUUAAAGGACUAAAUUCAUGUCCAGAAUGACAAUAAAGUAUAUGUUGAGAGUCCUUUUGUUACCUCACUAUUAAGACGGGAUGGUAACCUUGGCAUACAAGAAGAUAGUGCCUUUAUGACAAAUAUUGUCCAAAAAUAUAUGGAGUAUGACAUGCAACAUGCAUUGGUAUUUAGCUAUCGUGAAUACAAAAAAGUGAGAUUCAAACAUGCAUUGGUGCUGAAGUUUGUCCGAGAGGACCUUGCUAUUACGCUACGAGAAGUACAAUUUCAUUUGGAUAUUCUUAAAAGUCAAAACCUGAUUAAGGACGAUUGGAAAGACGUUGAUCUUACUGAAUGA